GAUGAGCGCUAGCUACAGGCUUAACACAUGCAAGUCGAGAGGAAAAGACAUUGAAGCUUGCGUCGAUGGUCGUCGACAGCGGCGCGCGUGAGAAACACGUAUCCAACCUGCCUCUCUCCAAGACGUAACCCGUCGAAAGACGGACUAAUACAUUAUAUGCAGUCGGGAAGUGAUCUCUGGACGACGAAAGAUUUCAUCGCUGAGAGAGAUGGAUACGCCUGUGAAGCGCGUUGGCGGGGGAACCCGCCACCAAGGGGACGAUCUGUAGGGGUUCUGAGAGGGAGGGCCCCCCAUUUUAACUGUGACACGGGCCACACUCUCACGGGAGACAGCGGCCCCGAAACUCUCGGCGAUGUGCGGAAGACUGACACAGCUUUUCCCCGUGAGUGAAGAGACUUUUCGGAUCUUAAAGCUCUGUGUGUAAGAGAAGAGCGAGUGUGAGAGUGGAAAGUUCUCACUGUGUCGGGAUCUUACCAGAGAGGGACAGCUCUCUACGUGCGCGCAGCGGCGGGAAUACGUAGGGGGCAAGCGUUAUCUGCAGUUAUUGGGGGUGAAGAGAGUGCAGGCGGUUUUCUAAAGGUGAGAUGAAAACCUUUGGGUUAACCGGAGAAGAGCGUCGGGAACAUGGGAAAUCGAGAGCAGAGGAGAGGUAGUGUGAAAUCCCCCGUGUAGCGGUGGAAUGCGUAUAGAUAUGGAGAACACCCGAGUGCGUAAGCGGGUAUACUUGCUGUCCAUGUCGCUGUGAGACGGAAACCUGGUGGGGAGAAAUGAAUGAGUUCCCUUGUAGACCAGGGGGAAAUCCCAUGGGCCCGCCCCCGUGAUCCCCUGUUUAGAGAGCGCCUCCGCGUAGCUCCUAUUGUCCAUUGUGGGAGAGUAUGCUGUCCUCCAUGCUCUCUUUAGAAUCGCCCUUCCUCCUCACCCUCUGUGUGAGAAGUCUACGUGCGUAGAAGUAUUUCUAUUGUCUGAGGUUCGAA
Molecule: ribosomal RNA, 974 nt
Filed under: uncultured Haemophilus sp.
Lineage: Bacteria; Pseudomonadati; Pseudomonadota; Gammaproteobacteria; Pasteurellales; Pasteurellaceae
Description: bacterial SSU rRNA
Rfam family: Bacterial small subunit ribosomal RNA (bases 1-832)
Source: RNAcentral